AACGAACGCUGGCGGCAUGCCUAACACAUGCAAGUCGAACGAGACCUUCGGGUCUAGUGGCGCACGGGUGCGUAACGCGUGGGAACCUGCCCUUAGGUUCGGAAUAACUCCCCGAAAGGGGUGCUAAUACCGGAUCAUGUCUUCGGACCAAAGAUUUAUCGCCUUUGGAUGGGCCCGCGUUGGAUUAGCUAGUUGGUAGGGUAAUAGCCUACCAAGGCGACGAUCCAUAGCUGGUCUGAGAGGAUGAUCAGCCACACUGGGACUGAGACACGGCCCAGACUCCUACGGGAGGCAGCAGUGGGGAAUAUUGGACAAUGGGCGAAAGCCUGAUCCAGCAAUGCCGCGUGAGUGAUGAAGGCCUUAGGGUUGUAAAGCUCUUUUACCCGGGAUGAUAAUGACAGUACCGGGAGAAUAAGCUCCGGCUAACUCCGUG
RNAcentral lists this ribosomal RNA (433 nucleotides) under uncultured bacterium. RNAcentral's name for it is "partial 16S ribosomal RNA". It matches the Rfam family "Bacterial small subunit ribosomal RNA", at positions 29 to 507 of the family's 1533-position model. The record is from RNAcentral.